Molecule: unclassified non-coding RNA, 392 nt
Filed under: Proteus mirabilis
Lineage: Bacteria; Pseudomonadati; Pseudomonadota; Gammaproteobacteria; Enterobacterales; Morganellaceae
Description: partial 16S-23S ribosomal RNA intergenic spacer
Rfam family: tRNA (bases 85-157)
Source: RNAcentral
CCUAAGAGAUACGUGUUAUGUGAAGUGCUCACACAGAUUGUCUGAUGAAGAACGAGCAAAAGCGCGUCUGCGAAGCUGACAAAAGUCCCCUUCGUCUAGAGGCCUAGGACACCGCCCUUUCACGGCGGUAACAGGGGUUCGAAUCCCCUAGGGGACGCCAAUGCGCGGUAUGAGUGAAAGGCGUACCACUCAUCUGACGAGAGUCAGAGAAUAACUAAGCUAAUUCAAAUGAGUUAUCUUACUUAUUAUGCUCUUUAACAAUCUGGAACAAGCUGAAAAAUUGAAAACAAAUCAAUAUAUCACCGAGGUAUAUUGAUGAGUCUCUCAAAAUCUCAAACCUUAAAGUUUGUCACGCAAAGUUUAUCUUUGAAAGAGACACUUUCGGGUUGUGA